Molecule: ribosomal RNA, 930 nt
Filed under: Triticum aestivum (bread wheat)
Lineage: Eukaryota; Viridiplantae; Streptophyta; Magnoliopsida; Poales; Poaceae
Description: partial small subunit ribosomal RNA
Source: RNAcentral
AUGCCACAUGUGGCACGCCUUUUGGUACUAGUACUCUUUGUGGUUUCUUUAGAUCCCUGGGCAUCAAAGUCGACAGCAUCAAGCUAUCAUGAGUAUCCUAGGAGAUUAGCACAUCACAUACGAAUGCCAUCCUUGAAUAGCAGUUCCAAGGUCACACGCACAGGUUCUGACAGAGCAGAGGCUUCGAUCAAAGGAGUGGAAGAAAUACCACACUAUUGUGCAUAUCAAUCAGGUGAAGCAGCAUAUGCUGGUACUAUAGCGACUAUGGAUGUCUAUGCUUUUCCAAAUUUGAAGAAGGGUCAAUCAAUUUCAGCCCAUAUCUCGGUGGCUGACAGCCAAACAUCGAACCAACUUGUAUCCGGAUGGGAGAUUGAUCCAGAUCUAUAUGGUGAUAGCAAAACACAUUUCUUCGUAUACUGGACGACUGAUAGGAAGAAUGGAUGUUCUAACUUGGAUUGUGACGGCUUUGUACCUGUAAACUUGGCUACUAUUACUCCCGGAGAUACUUUGGAGCCAUCUCGUGGACACAUGAAUAUUACAUUGAAGAUAUUUAAGAGUAAAGAAGAUGGAGAUUGGUGGCUACACUUUGGACAUGAUAUCAAUAAUCUUAGCCCAGUAGGGUAUUGGCCAAAAAGUCUUCUCAAUGGCAUGCAAGACCAUGCCGACGAUAUAGAAUGGGUAGGAAGUACUUUUUCCUUCUCCGGGGAGAUUAGUCCACUGAUGGGCAACGGGCACUGGCCAAGAAGCAAUUCAGCAGCAUCUUUUCGGAAUGUUCAGUAUAUUGAUAGGAAUGGUAAAGGUUAUGAUCCUCCUAUGGGUAGUCUUCAUGCUUUUGAGAGCCACAAACAAUGCUAUCGGACUGGUGUAUUUCAGCUUCAGGUCCAAGGCAACAUGUUCUACUAUGGGGGCCCAGGUGGUUGCACUGGUUAA